UCUCCCAUGGUGUAGUGGUUAAGCACGCGAGUCUUAUAUGCUUGAAGGCCGGGUUCGACUCCCGGUGGGAGUACCA
Molecule: transfer RNA, 76 nt
Filed under: marine sediment metagenome
Description: tRNA-Ile
Rfam family: tRNA
About the family: Transfer RNA (tRNA) molecules are approximately 80 nucleotides in length. Their secondary structure includes four short double-helical elements and three loops (D, anti-codon, and T loops).
Source: RNAcentral